Molecule: long non-coding RNA, 332 nt
Filed under: Crocodylus porosus (Australian saltwater crocodile)
Lineage: Eukaryota; Metazoa; Chordata; Crocodylia; Crocodylidae
Description: lncRNA (ENSCPRG00005014295.1)
Source: RNAcentral
UGGAAUACCUCGGAUGAAUGUAGCUACGGUUCUGAAGAUCUGCGUGCUGUUAUCUGCUCUUUUUCCACAGUAUUUCAUAUCCUAGUGGCAAUCAGCAAUUGGAACAGCUUUGCAAAGUCUUAUUGGAGUUUGGAUGCAUGGAAAAACCCUUUAAAGCUGUGGAUAUCAAAAACAAGGGUCUAAGAAGUACUCCUUACUACCAAAUCCUUAUUAACAGAGUCAACAGAUUUGGCAAGUCUACAGUUUAUGUUCCUGAGGAAGAGAUAACAAUUCUUAUGAGACCAGAAGGUAUUAUUUCAGUUUGUAAGAGUUAAGUCCAAUUUCAUUUUAAA